CGGGCGAACGUUGAGGCGCAGUGUGACGUGCGUUGACGCAGGGUGAAGUGAACUGCCUGGUUUCAAGUGAACUGCGCGCCUGGGUAGUCCGAAAGAUGAAACGCAGUUUAUCGUACACCUGCGUCCAGAUUAAACGCAGUUCUACUGAAUAGAUUCCUACUAUUUUCUAUGAUGUAUACAUAUUUGCUUAAUUUAUUAGACUCGGAAUCUGAUUCUGACUUUGUUGACGAAGAAAUAGCGUAUACAACUAUAUUCAGAAGAAAACUGCCAAAAAGUGAUUACUUAAAAAAGAGAAAGACUCACGGAGAAUUCGUUCUUCAGAAAGAACUUUCUGAAGAAAAGUACAAAAAUUAUUAACGAGUAACCCGUGCACAGUUUGCAGAAAUUCACGGAUUUAUUAAAGAAGACAUAGAAGCUGAAGGGUGUAAUGCGUCAAAGCCCAUCGGAACGGAAGAAAAACUAGCCGUAUUUUUAAGGUACAUCGCUUCAGGGAACUGCUUUAAAAGUAUGGGCUACAGUUAUAGAAUGAGUGACCGAACAGUAUCCAAUAUUGUAAAUGAAGUAGCAGGAGCUAUUUGGAAACGUAUGCAACCAUUAUGUAUGCCACAAGGAACAGCAGAACAUUGGACGUCCAUUGCACAUGGUUUUGAAGAAAGGUGGCAAUUUCCACAUUGCAUCGGAGCUAUUGACGGGAAGCAUGUAUUAAUAAAGAAGCCAGGUUUAAGUGGUUCCUCAUUUUUUAAUUAUAAAAAAACUUUCUCUAUUGUAUUAAUGGCUAUUGUGGACUCAAACUACAAAUUCAUUACUAUUGAUGUUGGCUCAAUGGGACGAUUUAGUGACGGAAACAUUUUUGGUAGCAGUGUUUUAGCAAAAAAACUUAAGAACAACACUUUGAAUAUCCCUCCAGCUUUUCUAAUACCUAUAAUUGAUGAUCCAAUGCCAUAUGUAUUUGUAGGAGACGAAGCUUUUCCUUUGUGUGAAAAUUGAAUGCGACCAUAUCCAAAACGAAGUGUCAUGGACAAUUACGAGAACAAAGUUUUUAAUUACAGACUUUCGCGGGCUCGACAAACUGUGGAAUGUUCUUUCGGUAUUCUUGCAUCCCGUUUUCGUGUUUUUCGUUCACCAUUUGAAUGCAAAUUAGACAGUGUAGUGAAAGUUGUAAAAGCAUCUUGCUUGCUGCAUAACUAUUUGAGAAAUUCUCCAAUUUCACAAAUCGAAGAAUUCUCCGAAAAUAUGCCGGUACAUCAGCUACUUCCACUUCGUAAAAUUAAUACUCGAAGUCCAUCUAAAGCUUUUUGCGUUCGUCAAAACUUCACAGAAUACUUCGUAUCACCAGCAGGAUCGCUGCCUUGGCAGAGAGAUAGUUUAUUGAGAGGGAAAUACUAAAAUCUACGUACGCAUGUACCGUACAAACUAAAACGUGACAAAAUUGCAUUAUUUUAGAAUAGGAAAGAAGGGAAAUGCGCAAUUUUUACAAGGAUCAGCCCAUCUAUUUUAUUAUAGAAUGUAGUUUAAAAAGAUAAUGUGUAAAAGUGUGUAGCUUAGCGAUGUUUAUGUUUAGGUACUUAGCUAUAUAUAUGUACAUAUAUGUUUAUGUUCAAAUGUCAAAAAAUAGAAAAUAAAAAUUAAAUAAAAGUAAUUACCUGUUUUCAGUCCAACCUCCAUCGCAAUUUCGUCCCAUAACUGCUGUUUUAAUUUCGAUUUCAUAUAAUCAACAUCAUUUGUGUCAUAUAAGACCUUUCUACAUCGAACGGCUUCAAUUAGCUUUUCCUCCAUACCUAUUUCUCAGAUGCACACAUAUGAAAAAUCACGACGGUUUUGUGUUUAGACCGCAGGCUAACGCAGGCUCACGGCGUACAAAAACUGCGCCAUCUCACGCUGCGUCUGAAUAUUCGCUGUUCUAUCGACGUCUAUUGAUUACAGAAAUCUGCGGUGAGUCACCCUGCGUCGCCUCACUUAACUGCGUCUCAACGUUCGCCCGGCCUAAAUAUGCAUAUCUUCUCGCCUCUUCAAUCAACGCAUGGUUGUUUUGCUAGACACCGUUAUAAAUAGUUUUUUGACAGUGCGCAACCUGUCAAUGCAGUUCAGAUCUGUUUUGCUAGUAAAACGUUAAGGAACCUCUAUACAAACAUAGUUAAAACGAGAAACGUUUGAAGAUUGCUCUGAAAUAAGCAAUACUUACGAAGAAAGUAUGGUGUGGUAUGGUAGGUCAGUUAGGAAAGAGGCGGCGUUCUUGGAAAUGCAAGAGAGGGAAAGAAACGAGGAAGAAGAGAGGCAAAGGUGGAUACGGGAACAAGAAAACAGGAGAAGAGAGGAAAUCAGGAGAAAUUCAAGACAAGAAAGUAUUGACAGCAGAAGAAGUGAAGAGAGAAGUAGGAGUAGAAGUUAUAGAGUGGAUAACAGACGAAGUAGAAUGCGUGGACGAGGUAGAGGACGGGGAAAUGUGCAGAGACGUGGUUACACGGGAACCGGGUGUAGAGGUCGCGGACAAAUGACGACAGACACCCGGCAACAACAGCGGUUGAAAGGUGCCUGAGUUAUAAUAAUACCGCGUCCUUGGUCGCUUUUACAAGGCAAUUUUUAAAUGAAUAAAAAAAAUUAUUAUUUAUUCUUUGCUAUUUUUUUUAUUCUUUAAACGUUAUUAAUUAAAAUUGGUUAACAUGAUUUGAGUUAAACAUAAAUUAAUAAUUCUUAAUAUAUUCAAAUUCAAAAUAAAUUUAUUUAUCAGUAAAAUAACGAACAUAAUUAACAAUUUACAAUAAAUAAGCCAUUAUGAUAAAUAGAAGCAUGCCUCGAUUAUGAAACCGUUAGCACAGGUGCAAACCUGUCUAGCAAGGCCCUUUUUUAAAAAACGAAUAAUAAAUAAAAAACAAUGAAUAGUACUGGCCAAUAUAAGUACUUUUCUGAAUACCAAUUUAUGAUAAUACGG
This is a long non-coding RNA of Anthonomus grandis grandis, 2929 nucleotides long. RefSeq lists it as uncharacterized. Lineage: Eukaryota; Metazoa; Arthropoda; Insecta; Coleoptera; Curculionidae. The record is from RefSeq and is a predicted model, not a curated record. The transcript is spliced from 3 exons.